CUACGGGCCGCACCAGUGGGGAAUUUUGCGCAAUGGGCGAAAGCCUGACGCAGCAAUACCGCGUGAGUGAAGAAGGCCUUUGGGUCGUAAAGCUCUUUUCUGGGGGAAGAUAGUGACGGUACCCCAGGAAUAAGCACCGGCUAACUCCGUGCCAGCAGCCGCGGUAAUACGGAGGGUGCAAGCGUUGUUCGGAUUUACUGGGCGUAAAGGGCACGUAGGCGGCACAGCAAGUUAAGGGUGAAAUCCCGGGGCUCAACUCCGGAACUGCUCUUAAAACUGCUGAGCUAGAGAUGGUCAGAGGCGGGUAGAAUUCCUGGUGUAGAGGUGAAAUUCGUAGAUAUCAGGAGGAAUACCGGUGGCGAAGGCGGCCCGCUGGGGCCAUUCUGACGCUAAGGUGCGAAAGCGUGGGGAGCGAACGGGAUUAGAUACCCGUGUAGUC
RNAcentral lists this ribosomal RNA (439 nucleotides) under uncultured bacterium. Its description in RNAcentral is "partial 16S ribosomal RNA". It matches the Rfam family "Bacterial small subunit ribosomal RNA", at positions 339 to 795 of the family's 1533-position model. The record is from RNAcentral.